GCGCCGGAAGUGUUGCAGGGAGCACACCCGCCAACCAGGCGGGAGGCUGCGGGUUCGAGUCCCAGCACGGCGCU
Molecule: transfer RNA, 74 nt
Filed under: Phycisphaerales bacterium
Lineage: Bacteria; Pseudomonadati; Planctomycetota; Phycisphaerae; Phycisphaerales
Description: tRNA-Gly
Source: RNAcentral